RNAcentral lists this ribosomal RNA (591 nucleotides) under Lasiodiplodia venezuelensis. RNAcentral describes it as "partial large subunit ribosomal RNA". It matches the Rfam family "Eukaryotic large subunit ribosomal RNA", at positions 50 to 656 of the family's 3401-position model. The record is from RNAcentral. Lineage: Eukaryota; Fungi; Ascomycota; Dothideomycetes; Botryosphaeriales; Botryosphaeriaceae.
GCGGAGGAAAAGAAACCAACAGGGAUUGCCUUAGUAACGGCGAGUGAAGCGGCAACAGCUCAAAUUUGAAAGCUGGCCCUUUUAGGGUCCGCAUUGUAAUUUGUAGAGGAUGAUUCGGCGAGGGCUCCUGCCUAAGUCCCCUGGAACGGGGCGUCAUAGAGGGUGAGAAUCCCGUAUGCGGUAGGUUGCCUUAGCCAUGUGAAUCUCCUUCGACGAGUCGAGUUGUUUGGGAAUGCAGCUCUAAAUGGGAGGUAAAUUUCUUCUAAAGCUAAAUACCGGCCAGAGACCGAUAGCGCACAAGUAGAGUGAUCGAAAGAUGAAAAGCACUUUGGAAAGAGAGUUAAAAAGUACGUGAAAUUGUUGAAAGGGAAGCGCUUGCAACCAGACUUGUCCGCAGUUGCUCAGCCGGUCUCCUGACCGGCGUACUCUUCUGCGGCCAGGCCAGCAUCAGUUCGGGCGGUCGGAUAAAGGCCUCGGGAAUGUGGCUCCUCUCGGGGAGUGUUAUAGCCCGGGGUGCAAUGCGGCCAGCCUGGACUGAGGAACUCGCUUCGGCAAGGAUGCUGGCGUAAUGGUUGUAAGCGGCCCGUCUUG